RNAcentral lists this ribosomal RNA (440 nucleotides) under uncultured bacterium. RNAcentral describes it as "partial 16S ribosomal RNA". It matches the Rfam family "Bacterial small subunit ribosomal RNA", at positions 338 to 795 of the family's 1533-position model. The record is from RNAcentral.
CCUACGGGUGGCAGCAGUGGGGAAUAUUGCACAAUGGGGGAAACCCUGAUGCAGCGACGCCGCGUGAGUGAAGAAGUAAUUCGUUAUGUAAAGCUCUAUCAGCAGGGAAGAAAAUGACGGUCCCUGAGUAAGAAGCCCCGGCUAAUUACGUGCCAGCAGCCGCGGUAAUACGUAGGGGGCAAGAGUUAUCCGGAUUUACUGGGUGUAAAGGGAGCGUAGUCGGCAGUGCAAGUCUGGAGUGAAAGGCGGGGGUUCAACACCCGGACUGCUUUUGAAACUGUACGGCUAGAGUGCAGGAGAGGUAAGUGGAAUUCCUAGUGUAGCGGUGAAAUGCAUAGAUAUUAGGAGGAACACCAGUGGCGAAGGCGGCUUACUGGACUGUAACUGACGUUGAGGCUCGAAAGCGUGGGGAGCAAACAGGAUUAGAUACCCCGGUAGUC